AUUGAACGCUGGCGGCAUGCCUUACACAUGCAAGUCGAACGGCAGCGGGGGAGAAGCUUGCUUUUCCUGCCGGCGAGUGGCGAACGGGUGAGUAAUACAUCGGAACGUGCCCUGUAGUGGGGGAUAACUAGUCGAAAGAUUAGCUAAUACCGCAUACGACCUGAGGGUGAAAGGGGGGGACCGCAAGGCCUCAUGCUAUAGGAGCGGCCGAUGUCUGAUUAGCUAGUUGGUGGGGUAAAGGCCUACCGAGGCGACUAUCAGUAGCUGGUCUGAGAGGGCGAUCAGCCACACUGGGACUGAGACACGGACCAGACUCCUACGGGAGGCAGCAGUGGGGAAUUUUGGACAAUGGCGAAAGCCUGAUCCAGCAAUGCCGCGUGUGUGAAGAAGGCCUUCGGGUUGUAAAGCACUUUUGUCCGGAAAGAAAUGGCUCUGGUUAAUACCUGGGGUCGAUGACGGUACCGGAAGAAUAAGGACCGGCUAACUACGUGCCAGCAGCCGCCGUAA
This 507-nucleotide ribosomal RNA is filed under the name uncultured bacterium. RNAcentral's name for it is "partial 16S ribosomal RNA". It matches the Rfam family "Bacterial small subunit ribosomal RNA", at positions 30 to 523 of the family's 1533-position model. The record is from RNAcentral.